This 253-nucleotide ribosomal RNA is filed under the name uncultured bacterium. RNAcentral describes it as "partial 16S ribosomal RNA". It matches the Rfam family "Bacterial small subunit ribosomal RNA", at positions 524 to 776 of the family's 1533-position model. The record is from RNAcentral.
UACGUAGGGUGCGAGCGUUGUCCGGAAUUAUUGGGCGUAAAGAGCUUGUAGGCGGUCUGUCGCGUCUGCUGUGAAAAUCCGGGGCUCAACCCCGGACUUGCAGUGGGUACGGGCAGACUAGAGUGUGGUAGGGGAGACUGGAAUUCCUGGUGUAGCGGUGAAAUGCGCAGAUAUCAGGAGGAACACCGAUGGCGAAGGCAGGUCUCUGGGCCACUACUGACGCUGAGGCACGAAAGCGUGGGUAGCAAACAGG